RNAcentral lists this ribosomal RNA (292 nucleotides) under uncultured Planctomycetota bacterium. RNAcentral describes it as "uncultured planctomycete partial 16S ribosomal RNA". Lineage: Bacteria; Pseudomonadati; Planctomycetota. The record is from RNAcentral.
GGACUACCCGGGUAUCUAAUCCCGUUUGCUCCCCUGGCUUUCGCGCCUCAGCGUCAGCAGAGGUCCAGCGGAUCGCUUUCGCCACCGGCGUUCCUUCCGAUAUCUACGCAUUUCACCGCUCCACCGGAAGUUCCAUCCGCCCCUACCUCCCUCCAGCCCGCCAGUAUCAGGGGCACUUUUCCGGUUGAGCCGAAAGAUUUCACCCCUGACUCGGCGAGCCGCCUACGCGCCCUUUAAGCCCAGUGAAUCCGAACAACGUUCGCACGGUUCGUCUUACCGCGGCUGCUGGCAC